AGGUCAUUUCAAAGAGGCUGCAAAACCAAGAGCUCUUAACACUGUGACCAAAGAUGGAAGUUCUCUCUAGGAUGCCAUGGCACUCGAUGGUGGUAUGUUUUCCUGGGGAGAUAGAAGG
Molecule: small nucleolar RNA, 118 nt
Organism: Nomascus leucogenys (northern white-cheeked gibbon)
Lineage: Eukaryota; Metazoa; Chordata; Mammalia; Primates; Hylobatidae
Source: Ensembl